AAUUUCUCUCUCUUCACUUUUCUCUCUGAAAAUAUUCUCUCACUUUCUCACACUUUCCCAGAUAACUCAACCCAUCUUCAAAAGCAGAAAAUUUUCCCUCAAGGAAGUGGUUUUCCUUACCACAAAGACAGACAGAUUCAAUUCAAGAAACGGGUUCAAAGAUUUUCCCCAGAAAAUCUGAUCCUCUCUCUUCAAACGGGUUUUUAAUUUUGAAAUGCUUAGUGAAUUUAAUUUUUCUGUUUCUGCAGACUACGGUGAUGAAAAAGUUAUCUAGAAAGUUUCCAAUCUUCUCAAAUCUUCCUGAAUGCUCUAAGGUCUCCUUAAAUAGAAAGGGUAAUGGUUUUCUUGGAAGUCGAGGCCGAUGAUGCCUAUGUCAGAGAGGAAGACCGAAGACUAAUGGGAUUUUUUGUGCUUUCAUAUGGUUUAGACUAAUGGUUUUUUUUUUUUGGGGGGGGCGGGGGGGGCAUUCUGAUUUGUUUGCAAGUUCCUGUUGAUUUGGUUCUUGUUUAUAAUGAAAAAGCUGUUUUUGGAAUUUCCUGGUUCUUGUAUGCUAUUGAUUUUAUUUACUAGACUCUUAUAUUUUGUAUAAUUUUGAAUGCCUUUCUUGGUAGUCUUAGCUGUACCCAUUUGGUUUUUUAUUCUAAUUGGUGUGAAAUAUCCUUUCAAAUGUAUACGGACUUGAAUUAAUUUUCAUGUUUCUGUUAUGGAAGCUCAUCUUAAAAAUAUUUAUCAAAAAAAUUUAGGAAUAGCCAAAGAAACUGUAUCUGAAUUGUGAUGAUCGUAUAGAUUUUAGAGAUGAAAACCUUUCUCCUAUCAAAAUUUAAUAGUUUUCAUGGUUGAUUUUUGUUAUUUUCCAUUCUGUAUUGAUUAUGUAUUAUUAAAUGUUUGUUUCUCCAACUGCAGUUGAUAGACAAGAAUCCAAGCAAGGCAAUUUCCCUGUUCUGGUCUGCCAUAAAUGCUGGGGACCUGGUUGAUAAUGCUUCAAAUUGAAUAUUUGUUGCUUAAGAGCACUCUAAUUUGUAUUGAUGCUGAGUGUUUAAUUGUUGACAGUUGAGUUUGAAAAAAAGAAGGGAAAAAAUAUUCUAUGGCAAGGGUACCCUAAUCCAUCAGCAUUCACAUAUGAAAGGCGCUUCUUCCGUCCUUUUGAGUAUGCUCUCCAGCCCCCUCUGUCGUAUAAGCCAGAGCAUGUAGCUGUAAACAAGCCUGAGGUACCUUUUGGGGUGUCUGAACUGAAGCAAUAUGAUGGACCUCAGUGUUUUGUUAUUCCCAGAAACCAUGGAGAAACCAUAACAUUGCGACACAAAAAUCACUUAAUACAUAAAGUGCCUGCUGGUGAUUCUCCCUAUGUCAGGGCUAAACAUGUUCAGAUUUCUUAGAGGGCAAGGUCUUGCUGGUACACUUCCACCAGCUCUAGCGAAGCUACCCAAACUGAAAUCUAUGAGCAUAGAGAGCAAUCAAUUUUCUGGAAUUGUUCCCCCUGAGCUUGGAAAUUUGCUUAACUUGGAGUAUCUAGAUCUGGAAGGGUUGAAGAAGAGAUUGAAAUGCUUCAGCUCAAGCUGAAGCAUAUUGAAGAAGGUAUAGCUUUCAGUGGAAGGAGGGCAAAGACAGCUAGAUCUCUAGGGAAGAAGGUUCAAAUAACUGUCGAGCAGGAAAUUUCAAGACAAAUUAGUGAUUUAUUUGGAGAAGGCUCAAAAUUUCUGUCCUUGCGUGGUGUGACAAACAUGAGCAAAUUGUUGUUGAGGAGCUGCAAUAUCAAUUUAUAGGCGCAAAGAGCUCAAGAAAACUCUUGAAAUCAUCUUCAAUUGAGCUACCUAGUAUGUGUUGGGAUUCUUGGAUGCAGAUCACUUUGACCCCUUGCAAUCUGUGGGGACAGCUCCAAGGUGGAGGCCUCCUGAUGUGGGUUGGGUAAUACGGAAUGUUGGGAUGUCUACUCUUAUUUGAACCCUAUAAUAGUGCUGCAUAAACACGUUCAAAAUUAUAACUAAGUUGACAUCUUUGACACCAUACAUUCCCUUCACAUAGUGGCUUUCAGAAAUUGCGUUGAUUAUUAAUUACUACAAGCACGUAAACUCAAAUUACAGUAGUAGAGAAUCAAGUACAGUACAUGAAGGUGAUUCCUAAAGCAAAGGAGAAUUAAAAUCUCCCAUUAAACAUUUCAACAGGUUUUCUAGGCAAAAGCAUUGGGUUAACGACCUGAAUGAGUCUUUUUGGUAAUGUCAUCUUAACAAAGUUAUGAAGAUUGAGACAAUCUUUAAACAUAUCAGCAGUGGGCCUCCUUCCGGUGAACAUUUCCAACACAAGGAUUCCAUAUAUGCACCCCCCUGAGUUGAUGCCUACCACCCAUGCCAUACUCCUUCCAAUGCCUGCUGGUGAUUCUCCCUAUGUCAGGGCUAAACAUGUUCAGAAAUCGAUUUCAGGUCCUCCAUAAGCACCAUGGGACAACAGAUGAACCUCCCAAACCCCAGACACAAUGACAACCCCUGCCAGCAGCCUACUACAAACAACAAAAGCAGGGAAGAAAAUCUGGCAGCACAUAACAGAGCUCAUUCACAGCUGAAUUCUCAUCUUAGGGCAGAGAGCUUGAUCACUGACUGAAAGUUUAGAAGGAAGAAAAGCCCCAGGCUCUAUCUCACAUCAUUCAAGAUAUUCUUCACGAUGUGACUCCGAAAUCAAGGGCCCUAAUGUGGUAUCUGAUUUCUAAACCUCCAAAUGUGAUAUACUGUGGCUGCACAACAAGUUUACCCACUCUUACUGCAAAUUUCUUGCUAACCAGUUGAGAACACCCCCAUUGCAUCAACUCCAACCAGUCACAGGCGACACUUCUGCCAAGACAGAACCAAUUCACCUGCUUCCAAACACUUUGAAAGAAAUGGUCCCUGCAUUCUGCCCUGCUCCUGCCGAAAAUACUAAGUAAACUACCAUGCCAACCCCAUGAAGUCAUCCUAUCUCAAGUAGAUAGCCUGUUUUUAAUAGCCAACUACAAGAUAAAGCCCUACUUAAGGAUGACAGCAGCAUCCAACACCAAUUUCCACCAAUCCACAUCACUACUCCUUACUCUAAUGGCUUCCCAAGCAUAAUGGCAGGAAAAAACACAACUUAUGGUAAGAGUCCACCUCACCUUAUCUUCGUCAUGCAACUAAUCCAGCAAGCAUCCUAACUAGACAGCUCUUACAGUAUCACUUCUAGGUGGUCUCUGUUGCCAUUCGCCAUUCAAAAUAACACUACACACUUUAGCCUCCUUGAAACUGCCAUCAACACCAAUCACGAUCAAUCGAGUCCAAAAAAAUCAACUAUCAUUAUAGGUCUAAUUCUAUGUGUAGACCAUAAUGUCCCCACCUCCCAUGAAAUUAUUCGUUACAUUUGGUCUAAUUUAGGUCCUGUUGGUGGCCGAUUAAAAUUGGACUGGCCUACAUGGCAGAAAAUAUGUGUUGGCAUAGCAAGAGGUCUAGCUUUCUUAAAUGAGGAAUCAACACUAAAAAUUGUUCAUAGAGACUUCAAAUCUACUAAUGUAUUACUUGUUGGUGACCUUAACCCUAAGAUCUCUAUUCUGGUUUGGCCAUGCUUUAUGAAGAGAACACCUACAUUAGCACCAGAUUGGUGGAACCAUGUGAGCUACCUUCCUUCCUUAAAAAACUAAAUAUUCUUACAUAUAUAUGGAAAUAAGAUUAAUAAUUUAAAUUAUUGAUAAAUCCUAAUAAAAAACUAAGAUUAUGGUGUUAAAGCCUGUUCCAAUCCCUUGUGUGUGUGUGUGUGUGUUUAUUUUAUUUUUUAUUUAUUUAAAUAUGUCGUUAAUCUGACCAAUAUUGGGUUGGCUAAAUACCAGUCGGCCCAAUUAAAAAGCCCUCUAUUGGAUUCAAUUGCUCAAGAAAGGAGGGCGGUGAUCGGCUGCGACGACAGCACCAUGAACCCCCUCAAUUCCAAUCCCACUCUUGUUGAUUAAAAUUUUUGACGUACUAGUGUACUACACUACUUUAUGACAAAUAAUUUGUGUAGUGAAUGCUCUUGUUGAAAUAGCUAAACAAUUGGGAAAGAAAGACUAGAGUUUCAAUGUGGACCCAUGCAGUGGUAAAGGCCUAAGCUAGAUGACAACACAAGUGAAUUCUAGGCCACUCUAUGACAACAAAACUUUCAUCUACAAUUGCAACUACAUUGAUGGUGUAUACCGCGUCCUUGAAUUGUAUGUACUAAGCUUAUUUUUGUUUAUUGAUUGAUUUGUUUAAAGUCCAAACUUAGGAAAUAGUGCAUAGUGAUACAACCAUUGGUAGACAUCAAAAUUUUAUGAUGUAUUUACAAUCGUCCGAUUGUUUAUGAUCAAAUAUUUGUGAUCAAAUUAAUCUCUUAUUGAUGAUGUGGACGAUCAGCAAAUGAAAUCAAGCCACGUGACAACAUCAAAUGAAGAAAUCCAUGUGGCAACAUCAGAAGAAAAGACUCAUAUAGAAAGUUCUUAUUAAGCGAAAGACCAAAUUAAAUUUAUUAUUAAUUCUCAAUAAAUGCUGAGAGAAAAUUUUAAAUCAAAUGCUAUUGAGUUGCAUAUAAAUAGAUGCUUGUCAUAUGAGAAAAGGGAGAGAGAAAAACCCUAAUGACACUCUACAAAAAUAGAGAGUCAUCUUUAAGUCCAAAAGAGCACCCUUGCUCCCUUAAAAUCAAGGCUCAUUUUUACUUCUUCAAAUCAAAAUAGGGAUUUUCCUUCAUUUUAGUUUGAGAUCAAACCAACGACCCUCAACUUCAAAUCAAAACUCAAAUACAUCCAAUCACAAAUCCAACUUGGAGACAUCAAAGUACAAUUCAAUAUCAAGUUUCAUAACCCUUCAGAAUGUAAAGUUUCCUGAAGAUCGAAUCAGGAGAGUUUUAUUAUAUUUUUU
This is an RNA transcript of Quercus lobata, 4862 nucleotides long. RefSeq lists it as uncharacterized. The transcript is spliced from 10 exons. NCBI's taxonomy places the organism in Eukaryota, Viridiplantae, Streptophyta, Magnoliopsida, Fagales, Fagaceae. The record is from RefSeq and is a predicted model, not a curated record.